UGGGCGCAGCCUGAUGGAGCACACCGCGUGAGUGAAGAAGGGUUUCGGCUCGUAAAGCUCUGUUGUUAAAGAAGAACACGUAUGAGAGUAACUGUUCAUACGUUGACGGUAUUUAACCAGAAAGUCACGGCUAACUACGUGCCAGCAGCCGCAUAUUG
RNAcentral lists this ribosomal RNA (158 nucleotides) under Limosilactobacillus fermentum. RNAcentral describes it as "Lactobacillus fermentum partial 16S ribosomal RNA". It matches the Rfam family "Bacterial small subunit ribosomal RNA", at positions 372 to 525 of the family's 1533-position model. Lineage: Bacteria; Bacillati; Bacillota; Bacilli; Lactobacillales; Lactobacillaceae. The record is from RNAcentral.